CCUACGGGAGGCAGCAGUGGGGAAUUUUGCGCAAUGGGCGAAAGCCUGACGCAGCGACGCCGCGUGAGGGAUGAAGGUCUUCGUGAUCGUAAACCUCUGUCAGGAAGGAUUAAAUGGAUGAAUGUUAAUACCAUUUGUACUUGACUUAACU
This 151-nucleotide ribosomal RNA is filed under the name uncultured bacterium. Its description in RNAcentral is "partial 16S ribosomal RNA". It matches the Rfam family "Bacterial small subunit ribosomal RNA", at positions 338 to 479 of the family's 1533-position model. The record is from RNAcentral.